GGGGGAUAUGCCCCGGGUACCGGCGAGUGAAGCGGCAAAAGCUCAAAUUUGAAAUCCCCCGGGAGUUGUAAUUUGAAGACCGGUGCUUGGGUGUGGCCUGCUCCAAGUCCAUUGGAACAUGGCGCCUGGGAGGGUGAGAGCCCCGUCCGAGCAGCACCACGCCCUCUGUGGCACCGCGUCGACGAGUCGAGUUGUUUGGGAAUGCAGCUCUAAGUGGGUGGUAAAUUCCAUCUAAAGCUAAAUACCGGCGAGAGACCGAUAGCGAACAAGUACAGUGAUGGAAAGAUGAAAAGCACUUUGAAAAGAGAGUGAAACAGUACGUGAAAAUUGUUGAAAGGGAAGGGCUUGCAAGCAGACACGGGUUCGCCCGGGCCAGCAUCGGUUGAUCGGGGCAGACAAGACCGCGGGCAUGUGGCAGCAUUGCUGUGUUAUAGCCCGCGCGGAUGUGCCCUCCUUCGACCGAGGCCUGCGAUUCUGUCUAGGAUGCUGGCGUAAUG
This 497-nucleotide ribosomal RNA is filed under the name [Candida] sp. RNAcentral describes it as "Candida sp. (in: Saccharomycetales) partial large subunit ribosomal RNA". It matches the Rfam family "Eukaryotic large subunit ribosomal RNA", at positions 69 to 636 of the family's 3401-position model. The record is from RNAcentral. Lineage: Eukaryota; Fungi; Ascomycota; Saccharomycetes; Saccharomycetales.